AAUGCGAUAAGUAAUGUGAAUUGCAGAUUUUCAGUGAAUCAUCGAAUCUUUGAACGCACCUUGCGCCCCUUGGUAUUCCGAGGGGCAUGCCUGUUUGAGUGUCAU
RNAcentral lists this ribosomal RNA (105 nucleotides) under Piloderma lanatum. RNAcentral's name for it is "partial 5.8S ribosomal RNA". It matches the Rfam family "5.8S ribosomal RNA", at positions 52 to 154 of the family's 154-position model. From Rfam's summary of the family: 5.8S ribosomal RNA (5.8S rRNA) is a component of the large subunit of the eukaryotic ribosome. It is transcribed by RNA polymerase I as part of the 45S precursor that also contains 18S and 28S rRNA. Lineage: Eukaryota; Fungi; Basidiomycota; Agaricomycetes; Atheliales; Atheliaceae. The record is from RNAcentral.